RNAcentral lists this ribosomal RNA (872 nucleotides) under Proxipyricularia zingiberis. Its description in RNAcentral is "eukaryotic LSU rRNA". It matches the Rfam family "Eukaryotic large subunit ribosomal RNA", at positions 34 to 941 of the family's 3401-position model. Lineage: Eukaryota; Fungi; Ascomycota; Sordariomycetes; Magnaporthales; Pyriculariaceae. The record is from RNAcentral.
CUAAGCAUAUCAAUAAGCGGAGGAAAAGAAACCAACAGGGAUUGCCCUAGUAACGGCGAGUGAAGCGGCAACAGCUCAAAUUUGAAAUCUGGCCCAAGCCCGAGUUGUAAUUUGUAGAGGAUGUUUCUGGCGACGUGCCUUCCGAGUUCCCUGGAACGGGACGCCAUAGAGGGUGAGAGCCCCGUACGGUUGGAUGCCUAGCCUCUGUGAAACUCCUUCGACGAGUCGAGUAGUUUGGGAAUGCUGCUCUAAAUGGGAGGUAAAUGUCUUCUAAAGCUAAAUACCGGCCAGAGACCGAUAGCGCACAAGUAGAGUGAUCGAAAGAUGAAAAGCACUUUGAAAAGAGGGUUAAAAAGUACGUGAAAUUGUUGAAAGGGAAGCGUUUAUGACCAGACUUGAGCAGGUUGAUCAUCCGUGGUUCUCCGCGGUGCACUCUGCCUGCUCAGGCCAGCAUCAGUUCGUUCCGGGGGAUAAAGGCUCUGGGAAUGUGGCUCCCUCGGGAGUGUUAUAGCCCACUGCGUAAUACCCUGGGAUGGACUGAGGUUCGCGCUUCUGCAAGGAUGCUGGCGUAAUGGUCAUCAACGACCCGUCUUGAAACACGGACCAAGGAGUCGUCUUCGUAUGCGAGUGUUCGGGUGUCAAACCCCUACGCGUAAUGAAAGUGAACGUAGGUGAGAGCUUCGGCGCAUCAUCGACCGAUCCUGAUGUUCUCGGAUGGAUUUGAGUAAGAGCAUACGGGGCCGGACCCGAAAGAAGGUGAACUAUGCCUGUAUAGGGUGAAGCCAGAGGAAACUCUGGUGGAGGCUCGCAGCGGUUCUGACGUGCAAAUCGAUCGUCAAAUAUGGGCAUGGGGGCGAAAGACUAAUCGAACC